GACAGAGGGUGCAAACGUUGUUCGGAAUUACUGGGCGUAAAGCGCGUGUAGGCGGUUUGAUAAGUCGGAUGUGAAAGCCCCGGGCUCAACCCGGGAAGUGCACUCGAUACUGUCAAGCUAGAGUAUCGGAGAGGUUGGUGGAAUUCUCGGUGUAGAGGUGAAAUUCGUAGAUAUCGAGAGGAACACCGGUGGCGAAGGCGGCCAACUGGACGAAUACUGACGCUGAGACUCGAAAGCGUGGGGAGCAAACAGG
Molecule: ribosomal RNA, 253 nt
Filed under: uncultured bacterium
Lineage: Bacteria
Description: partial 16S ribosomal RNA
Rfam family: Bacterial small subunit ribosomal RNA
Source: RNAcentral